CAGAAUUCAUUUCAGUGUUCACCGUGCGUUGAGCAGACGUGCACCAGCUAUCGUGUCAAACCGGAUAGUGUCACCACCCUGAGGACCACCGUAGUUUUAAUAAGCUGAAAGAUCCCGACUGGGAAAUCAGGGUAACCUUGUUACCCUGCUCACAACUGGAGAAUAAAGCACCAGCAACUAAAAUGAAA
This is a long non-coding RNA of Lagenorhynchus albirostris (white-beaked dolphin), 188 nucleotides long. RefSeq lists it as uncharacterized. The transcript has 2 exons. The record is from RefSeq and is a predicted model, not a curated record. NCBI's taxonomy places the organism in Eukaryota, Metazoa, Chordata, Mammalia, Artiodactyla, Delphinidae.